CCUCAGGGUGGGGCUGGUCCAGGGAAAGACUCAGUGGUUAGAGGGUUGGAACUUUCAGUCCUGCUCACCACCCCUGAGAAGGGAGGUGGGUAGCGUUGGAGAUUAAGUUCUGUAAAAACUCUUGAACAUGGUUUGACGAGCUUCCAGACUGGUGAACACAUGGGGUACUGGGAGGAUGCUGUGCCCAGAGAAGAUGUGGAAGUCCCAGGGGCUCCCCUCCCCCUGACAUUGUCCUAUGCAUCUCUUCCAUUUGGCUGUUCCUGAGAUACAUACUUUGUAAUAAACUGGAGGACCUCCUCCCCAACAGUUAAAAGUUUCGGUCUCCUGGAUCUGCAUUGCAGAAGUCUUCAUUUACGAAACAGUUACAAGUCCCUCCACAUAAAAGCAGAUUAACAGAAUAUGCUGUCGUCACCUGGGAAUCCUGCCCGUCCAAACACUAAAGAACAAAACAGGGCCCUCGCCCGACCAUGGUAACAUCCUGACCUUGAAGAUCCAGCCUCCAGAACUUCAAGAAAUAAAUGUUUAUUGUUUAUAAGCCA
This 539-nucleotide long non-coding RNA is filed under the name Equus caballus (horse). RNAcentral's name for it is "lncRNA (ENSECAG00000052232.1)". Lineage: Eukaryota; Metazoa; Chordata; Mammalia; Perissodactyla; Equidae. The record is from RNAcentral.